This 536-nucleotide ribosomal RNA is filed under the name uncultured archaeon. RNAcentral's name for it is "bacterial SSU rRNA". It matches the Rfam family "Archaeal small subunit ribosomal RNA", at positions 419 to 954 of the family's 1478-position model. The record is from RNAcentral.
UAAAAUACAUCUGUUAGCAAGGGCCGGGCAAGACCGGUGCCAGCCGCCGCGGUAACACCGGCGGCCCGAGUGGUGAUCGUGAUUAUUGGGUCUAAAGGGUCCGUAGCCGGUUUGGUCAGUCCUCCGGGAAAUCUGACGGCUCAACCGUUAGGCUUUCGGUGGAUACUGCCAGACUUGGAACCAGGAGAGGUAAGAGGUACUACAGGGGUAGGAGUGAAAUCUUGUAAUCCCUGUGAGACCACCUGUGGCGAAGGCGUCUUACCAGAACGGGUUCGACGGUGAGGGACGAAAGCUGGGGGCACGAACCGGAUUAGAUACCCGGGUAGUCCCAGCCGUAAACGAUGCUCGCUAGGUGUCAGGCAUGGCGCGACCGUGUCUGGUGCCGCAGGGAAGCCGUGAAGCGAGCUACCUGGGAAGUACGGCCGCAAGGCUGAAACUUAAAGGAAUUGGCGGGGGAGCACAACAACGGGUGGAGCCUGCGGUUUAAUUGGACUCAACGCCGGACAACUCACCGGGGACGACAGCAAUAUGUAGCC